UUUAAAGUUUUAUUUUAAUAAAAAUAAUUAUUUUUUUUAUUAGUUUGUAUGAAUAAAUAAGUUUUAUUAUAGAGUAUUAGUAUCGAGAGAGAAUUAUAUUUUUAAAUUAAAAGAAAGAUUAAUUUUUUGUACCUUGUGUAUCAGGGUUUAUUAAAUAAAAUUUAUUUAUUUUAAAUUUCUCGAAUUUAAAAGAGCUAUAAAUAUAUAUUUUUUAUUGUAAAAUAAAUAUUGUUAAUAUUUUUAUAGAAGUGAUAUGCUAUUCGAUUUUAAAUAUAUCUAGUUUUUUAAGAAAAAAAUUUAAUUUUAUUUUUAUUUAACAAUAAAUUAAUUUUUUAAUUUUUUGUUAUUAAAAUUUUAUAUUAUAGGGGAUGAGCUUUAUAGUAGAUUUAUAUAAUUUAUAUAAAAAUUUUUAGUAUGUAGGAUUAUUAGUUUCCAUCUUUAUUAGUGUUUUAUAGCUAACUAAAAUUAAUUUAAAAUUUAUAUAUUUUUAAUUUAUAUUUUUUAUUAAAAUAUAAAAUUUAAUUUAUUUUAUUUUAGGAAUAAUGAUAAAAUUAGUAUAAUUUAAUGUUUACUUUAUAUAAUUAUAUUUUAGGUUAAGUAAAGGAACUCGGCAAAUAUAUUUUUCACCUGUUUAAUAAAAACAUGUCCUUUUGAUUAUAAUUUAAGGUCUAGCCUGCCCAAUGAUGUAGAGUUAAAUGGCCGCGGUAUUUUGACCGUGCAAAGGUAGCAUAAUCAUUAGUUUUUUAAUUGAAAGCUGGUAUGAAAGGUUGGAUGAGAAAAUAACUGUCUCUAUUUAAGUUUUAUAGAAUUUUAUUUUUAAGUAAAAAAGCUUAAAUUUAUAUUGAAGACGAGAAGACCCUAUAGAGUUUUAUAUUUAUUUUAAAUAGGAAGUUUUAGUAUUAAGUUUUUUUUAUUUAGGAUAAUUAUUUGGUUGGGGUGAUUGAAAAAUUUAAUAAACUUUUUUUUUAUUUUAUCAUUGAUUUAUGAGUGUAUGAUCCUUAUUUUAAGAUUAAAAGAAUAAAUUACCUUAGGGAUAACAGCGUAAUUUUUUUUGAGAGUUCAAAUCGAAAAAAAAGGUUGCGACCUCGAUGUUGGAUUAAAAUUUAUUUUUGGUGUAGAAGCUAAAAUAUUGGGUCUGUUCGACCUUUAAAAUUUUACAUGAUCUGAGUUUAAACCGGUGUGAGCCAGGUUGGUUUCUAUCUCAAUAAAGAUAAUAUAUUUUAGUACGAAAGGACCAAAUAUAUGGUUUAAAAUUUUUUUAAAUUUGAAUAAUA
This 1274-nucleotide ribosomal RNA is filed under the name Curculio sp. SZ-2019. RNAcentral's name for it is "16S ribosomal RNA". The stretch from base 1033 to 1191 matches the Rfam family "Archaeal large subunit ribosomal RNA", at positions 2542 to 2701 of the family's 2987-position model. Lineage: Eukaryota; Metazoa; Arthropoda; Insecta; Coleoptera; Curculionidae. The record is from RNAcentral.